UCCCUGGUGGCUCAGACGGUAAAGCGUCUGUCUACAACUCAGGAGACCCUGGUUUAAUCCCUGGGUUGGGAA
Molecule: transfer RNA, 72 nt
Filed under: Ovis aries (sheep)
Lineage: Eukaryota; Metazoa; Chordata; Mammalia; Artiodactyla; Bovidae
Rfam family: tRNA
About the family: Transfer RNA (tRNA) molecules are approximately 80 nucleotides in length. Their secondary structure includes four short double-helical elements and three loops (D, anti-codon, and T loops).
Source: Rfam by way of RNAcentral